UACGGGGGGGGCAAGCGUUGUUCGGAAUUACUGGGCGUAAAGGGUGCGUAGGCGGCUUUCUAAGUUGGAUGUGAAAACUCUGGGCUCAACCCAGAGCCUGCAUCCAAAACUGGAGAGCUAGGGUUCUGGAGGGGAAAGCGGAAUUCCUGGUGUAGCGGUGAAAUGCGUAGAUAUCAGGAGGAACACCGGUGGCGAAGGCGGCUUUCUGGACAGAUACCGACGCUGAGGCACGAAAGCGUGGGGAGCAAACAGG
This 253-nucleotide ribosomal RNA is filed under the name uncultured bacterium. Its description in RNAcentral is "partial 16S ribosomal RNA". It matches the Rfam family "Bacterial small subunit ribosomal RNA", at positions 524 to 776 of the family's 1533-position model. The record is from RNAcentral.